GCGGGAGUGCCCGAAAGGGAAUCGGAACACAGGUGCUGCAUGGCUGUCGUCAGCUCGUGUCGUGAGAUGUUGGGUUAAGUCCCGCAACGAGCGCAACCCUUAUCAUUAGUUGCUACGCAAGGGCACUCUAAUGAGACUGCCGGUGACAAACCGGAGGAAGGUGGGGAUGACGUCAAGUCCUCAUGGCCCUUAUGGGUAGGGCUUCACACGUCAUACAAUGGUCGGUACAGAGGGUUGCCAAGCCGCGAGGUGGAGCCAAUCCCAGAAAGCCGAUCGUAGUCCGGAUUGUUCUCUGCAACUCGAGAGCAUGAAGUCGGAAUCGCUAGUAAUCGCGGAUCAGCAUGUCGCGGUGAAUACGUUCCCGGGUCUUGUACACACCGCCCGUCACACCAUGGGAGUGGAAUCUGCCAGAAGUAGGUAGCCUAACCGCAAGGAGGGCGCUUACCACGGUGGGUUUCAUGACUGGGGUGAAGUCGUAACAAGGUAGCCGUAGGGGAACC
This 500-nucleotide ribosomal RNA is filed under the name uncultured bacterium. RNAcentral's name for it is "bacterial SSU rRNA". It matches the Rfam family "Bacterial small subunit ribosomal RNA", at positions 1008 to 1512 of the family's 1533-position model. The record is from RNAcentral.